UUAUGAGGAUGCUCCAAAUACUGAGUACAGUGUUUACAGUUGCUCUUCUAAUGAAAGGAUGUGAUGCACAAUUGUCAGAUUGUGGCAAAGCCCCUCUUGACACAAGGAUAGUAGGGGGACAGGAUGCUCCUGUUGGUGCAUGGCCAUGGCAGGUCAGUCUUCACAGGAGCAAUGGACAUUUCUGUGGUGGAUCACUCAUCAACAAUGAAUGGGUUCUGACAGCAGCUCACUGCUUUGUAAGUACUUCAACAAGCGGCCUAACUGUGUACCUGGGGCGACAAACACAGUCAGGAACAAAUACAAAUGAGGUGUCCAGAACUGUCUCUCAAAUCAUUAAACAUCAAAACUACAGUUCCAGCUCUAAUGACAAUGAUGUCACUCUCCUGCAUCUGUCUUCACCUGUGACAUUUACUGACUAUAUUAGACCGGUCUGCCUGGCAGCUGCAGACAGUACAUUCUUCAACCGCACUGCGAGCUGGGUCACUGGAUGGGGAGAUAUUAAAACUGGUGUUUCCAUGCCUUCACCGGAAACUCUACAGGAAGUGCAAGUGCCUAUUAUUGGAAACAGGCAAUGCAAGUGCCUUUAUGGAAUCCAAACAAUCACAAACAACAUGAUCUGUGCUGGACUAAUCGAAGGGGGGAAAGACUCCUGUCAGGGUGAUUCUGGUGGACCUAUGGUCAGCAAACAGGGCUCAGUCUGGAUCCAGUCUGGGGUUGUGAGCUUUGGUGAAGGAUGUGCUUUACCAAGGUUUCCUGGUGUCUAUGCCAGAGUGUCUCGGUACCAGACCUGGAUCACCCAACAGAUCAACCAGCCAAAUAACCAGCCAGGCUUCAUCAAAUUCAUCUCCAGUGGUACUGAUGGUGAUCUAAGUGUCAGCUGUAGUGGUUUGUCUGCCAUUACAUCAACUGCUGCAGCUGCAAUUACAACCACUACAACCACUGCAUCUGUAGUGUGUGGAAGUGCCAAACUGAAUACCCGUGUGGGAGGAAACAGCUCCCUGGCAUCUACAGGUGUAUGGCCAUGGAUUGCCAGUCUGCAGUUGAAUGGCAGUCACAUUUGUGGAGGAACGAUGGUUGCUGAAUGGUUUGUCAUGAGCUCUUCUAGCUGCUUUUCCAGAUCAACAAAUGCCUCUGAUUGGACCGUGAUCCUGGGUCGUCUGUACCAGAACGGCAUCAACCCCAAUGAGGUCUCUGUAAAAGUGGUGAACAUCACAAUCAGCAAUUCUACAGGUGACAGCAUUGCAGUCUUGCAGUUGGCCAGUGCACCAAAACUCUCAGAUUUCAUUCAGCCCAUAUGUGUGGACCUGGGAGAUAGUACCUUCAGUGCUGAUACUCCAUGUUGGGUGGCAGGCUGGGGCUCAGGAGCAGGAGGAACUCCCGCUUCCUCCUUAAGAAGAAAGCUAGUGACCUGUCACACUGUUGCUGAAGCCUGGGAAGAAGGAAAGAUACACUGCUAUGGAGUCCUCGCCGCUGGAAGUAAUCUUCAGAACCCUCACCGGCAUCUACCAGGCCCAACACCAGGCCCUCAUGGAGCUGCAGAAGGAGCAGCAACUAUGCUUCAAGAUGCUCCUUCAGGCCCAACAGGAGGACCAGCGGAUCUUGCAUAGCUUGUUAUCCCAGGAGGGGGCGUCCGCUGUGACCCCGGCAGCAGCAAACCCCCACGUGAAGCUUGAUAAAAUGGGGGCUCAGGAUGACCCAGAGGCCUACCUGGAGCUGUUUGAGUGCAGGACCAAAGCCCUAAAAUGGCCAUGGGUGCAAUGGGCUGUUCACCUCCUACCAAUGCUGACCGGGGAAGCCCAGCUCGUAGCACAAAAGUCGUCAACCAUCUAGACUACAUACAUUUGAAGAAAGCCAUCCUGCAACGGGUCAGCCGCAGUCUAGAAGAGCACUGCCAACGGUUCAGGUCCCUGAUGCUGAGCGAGGUCGGCCGCCUGUUCACUUUUGCACAACAGCUCUGUGACGCCUGCUGACGAUGAGAAUGACACCGUUGACAUCAUCAAUCUCGUUGUGCUGGAGCAGUUCGUCUCCUGGCUGCCGAAGGGGAUGGCAGAGUGGGUCCAGUGCCACUAUCCGGCAUCGCUGGAGGACCUAGCGAUCUAGCGGUGUGUCCGGGGGCCAGAAAACCCUUUUCUCUCUUUCUUUCUCUCUCUCUCUCUCUCUCUCUCCCUCUUCCUCCCUUCCCUUCCCUCCCCCCCACCCCCAUCCUGUUCCUGUUCACCUAACCCUCUCAACUCUCUCCCAGAGGCUGGUGAAUCCACUUCCCCAGGUGUGGGCGUGAAGUCUGGGCUGGUCUGCUGGAGCUGUAGGGGUCCUGAGCAUUUCCAGGACCGAUUCCCCACGAGGGAGGUGGAGACAUUGAUCUGGGUCCCUGAUGCACCACAGCCGCCCCGAUCGAGCAGGAGCAUACCGAAUACCUGGCCCUGGCUACGUUUCAGCAGCUCAUGGACAGAAUCCUCAGACCGCAUGCCGCUUACGCCGCUGUCUAUCUAGAUGACAUCAUCAUUUACAGUAAUGACUGGCAGCGGCACCUGCAGCACCUGAGAGCAGUUCUGAAGUCAUUAAGAUGGGCGGGACUCACGGCAAACCCUAAUAAGUGUGCAAUUGGAUGGGUGGAAGUACGGAAUCUGGGUUCCUGUGGCUGGCUGGCUAUUAUCAUAGGUUUGUGCCUAACUAUUUGACCAUCGCCAGCCUGCUGUCUGGUCUUACUAAAAAGGGGGCACCAGAUCCGGUCCAGUGGAUGGAGCCAUGUCAGCAAGCGUUCACGCAGGUGAAAGCUGUGCUUUGCGGCAGGCCGUUAUUACACUCUCCUGAUUUCUCUCUUCCUUUUGUGUUACAGACCAGAGGUUGGGAGCCGUGUUGUCCCAGGUGGUCGAGGGGGAGGAGCGCUCGGUGCUGUACAUCAGCCAAAAGCUCUUGGUGAGGGAGUUGAGGUACAGCCCAGUUGAGAAGGAAUGUUUGGCCAUCAAGUGUGGCGGUCUUACCCUACAGUAUUACCUCCCGGGACUGGUCUUCACCCUCUGUUCGGACCACUCCCCACUCCAGUGGCUCCAUCGCAUGAAAGAUACCAAUGCGCGGAUCACCCAUUUGUAUCUAGAUCUUCAGCCAUUUAAGUUUGAGGUGGUCCACAGAUGGAGGUGCAGCUGGCUGUU
Myxocyprinus asiaticus (Chinese sucker) is the source of this 3149-nucleotide RNA transcript. It is a transcript of the gene named transmembrane protease serine 9-like, with no coding region annotated. The record is from RefSeq and is a predicted model, not a curated record. The transcript has 10 exons. Lineage: Eukaryota; Metazoa; Chordata; Actinopteri; Cypriniformes; Catostomidae.